GGACAACGGAUUUUAUUAAACACUACUGGGGUUUAUACGGGUACUGAAAAACUGUGACUCUGUAGUACCCGACCAUCUGUUCCGCUGGACAGCGGCUGGUGGAGUCAGCAGCCGCCUCAGACACCUCUCCCGACUGCGGUCGUUCACUGUCUGUGGCGUAAACCCUGAGAUCAUCACCCUCCCUACUCCCAGGCCUUCCCCGUUUCAUUAUUUCUAUCAAAGGGAGUUGGGGCUGGGCCUGUGGGUGCACAGCACCUUGGACCUUCGGCUUCAUGGUGUCUUCCUUAUCUUCUCAGAACUUGGGCCCAGGUCACUUAGGUGUGUCAAUCACUUAGGAGCUAGUAUGACGUUUAUCAGCCCUAAAUUUACAGCCAUCUCCCUGCCCUUCAAGGCCGAAGACUGCCAGACGAGAGCAGGCCGCUUUCAGGGUUUGCAGGGCCGUUCAGCGGUGUUCACGGCGCUCCCCUCCAGACCCCUUGGCGCGGCAUCCGGAAGCCUUCCGUCGCUGUGUAAGCCCGCACCGCCGCGGAUUCCAGGGCCUCGCAGGACACACGCGUGACGGUCAGGGCACUACCCGCGCGGGGUCGCCCGUGCCCUCCCUCGUCCCAGCGCGCAGCAGCCACCAGCUCUCGGAACCGUGGGCAGGGCUGAGCGGGGCAGGCCCGGCAGGCCUGUCAGCCCGCGCGCCGCUCCCUGGCUCAGCUGCCCUGCCGGCCGCGCUCGCCUCUGCUAGCCCUGAAGUCCAUCCGCGCCCUGCUGCUCCAGGCCCGCGCCCCGCCCCUCCGGCUCGGAGCCGCCCCGGGGCGGUGGGAUGCAGGGAGGGCUCUCCGGAGGGGCCCGGAGUCCUGGCCCUCAGCCGCGGCCUCUAAGGCCGAACGAGGCUGCAAUCAGCAGAGGCCAAAUGAAAACAGCCCGCGGAGAGGGCGGAGGCGGGGACCGGGCAGCCGCGGGUCUCGAGGAGCGAGGAGCUGCGGGCAGAGGGCAGGUUGCGCUCCCCCCCGCCCUGCGCUCCCUCCGGGUUACCCUCGCUCGGGAGAGCCGGGUCCGGGCGGAAGUCGCAGGCGGGCGGCUCGGCGCUGCUGUUCCAGGUCUCCGCUUGGGAUGCGCGGCGGAGGCCAACGGCUGCGCGCGCCUUCCAGCCCUCGCGUCUCCUAGCAACGCAGGGCGGGGGCGUGGCUCGGUGGGCCCUGCCCUGCUCGCGCAAGCUCCGCUCACACGGGUGGCCCUCUGUGCGCACGCGCAAGGCGUGGGCGUGGCCACGGGGCUGCUUAGCCAAGUCGGAGGAGACCCAGAGACCCGAGGUUGGCUGGUGCGCGCCUGGCGCCUCGCGUCUGAGCUCGGGGGGGGAGUAGAAGGUGCUGUUCGCUCCUGAAACCCCAGACCGAGUCCCUAAGAAAAUGGAUAAGAUCGCUGGGAUUGCUGGGACUCAACCUUCCAGGCCUCUCCCCCACUGAACAAGGAAAGAAGUUUAUCCUUCCGCACCCGCCCCUUCAGCAGAGGACACCUGAGGCCCUCUUUGUCCUGGCUUCCUUACUCGUCGCAGCAAAACCUCGGCUGUGCAGCCCUCACCCAAGCCCAGGCACCUGCAGCCCCCACUGCCUGUUGCGGUGGAACCUGGAGGUCUCCUGCCCUCGCGGCCCCAGUCCUCUGCACAGUCAGCGAUCCGUUGGAAACCCAG
Heterocephalus glaber (naked mole-rat) is the source of this 1678-nucleotide long non-coding RNA. Lineage: Eukaryota; Metazoa; Chordata; Mammalia; Rodentia; Bathyergidae. The record is from Ensembl.